UGGGGAAUUUUCCGCAAUGGGCGCAAGCCUGACGGAGCAAUACCGCGUGAGGGAGGAAGGCUUUUGGGUUGUAAACCUCUUUUCUCAAGGAAGAAGUCCUGACGGUACUUGAGGAAUCAGCAUCGGCUAACUCCGUGCCAGCAGCCGCGGUAAUACGGAGGAUGCAAGCGUUAUUCGGAAUUAUUGGGCGUAAAGCGUCCGCAGGUGGUGCCUCAAGUCUGCUGUCAAAGACCGAAGCUCAACUUCGGGCAGGCAGUGGAAACUGAAGCACUAGAGUACGGUAGGGGUAGAGGGAAUUCCUGGUGUAGCGGUGAAAUGCGUAGAUAUCAGGAAGAACACCGGUGGCGAAAGCGCUCUACUAGGCCGUAACUGACACUGAGAGACGAAAGCUAAGGGAGCGAAUGGGAUUAGAUACCCCGGUAGUCC
RNAcentral lists this ribosomal RNA (426 nucleotides) under uncultured prokaryote. Its description in RNAcentral is "bacterial SSU rRNA". It matches the Rfam family "Bacterial small subunit ribosomal RNA", at positions 355 to 796 of the family's 1533-position model. The record is from RNAcentral.